This 354-nucleotide ribosomal RNA is filed under the name uncultured bacterium. Its description in RNAcentral is "partial 16S ribosomal RNA". It matches the Rfam family "Bacterial small subunit ribosomal RNA", at positions 338 to 709 of the family's 1533-position model. The record is from RNAcentral.
CCUACGGGAGGCAGCAGUAGGGAAUAUUGCACAAUGGGGGGAACCCUGAAGCAGCAACGCCGCGUGGGUGAUGGAGGAUUUCGGAUUGUAAAGCCCUAUCGUCAGGGAAGAUAAUGACGGUACCUAACGAAGAAGCACCGGCUAACUCCGUGCCAGCAGCCGCGGUAAUACGUAGGGGGCAAGCGUUACUCGGAUUCACUGGGUGUAAAGAGCGCGUAGGCGGGAGUGCAAGUCAGGAGUGAAAGCCCGGGGCUUAACCCUAGGACUGCUUUGGAAACUGUUAUGCUGGAGUGUGGGAGGGGUAGGUGGAAUUCCUGGUGUAGCGGUGAAAUGCGUAGAGAUCAGGAGGAAUAC